This is a non-coding RNA of Cordylochernes scorpioides, 72 nucleotides long. The record is from the annotation of a GenBank genome assembly. Lineage: Eukaryota; Metazoa; Arthropoda; Arachnida; Pseudoscorpiones; Chernetidae.
UGGAGAUGCCGGGAUUUGAACCAGAGACCUUUCACACGCAAAGCAGACUCUCUACUACUGAGCUAUAUCUCC